GAUAAAUAGUUUUCACCUGAGCCAGGCUUGCGUUACUUCCGUGACUUCAGUCUUUGCUCUCCUACCCUCUCACUUACUAGCUGAGCGAUCUGGGGGAGGUUAUCUAACCUUCCUGAGCCUCGUAUUCCUCAUACCGAAAACGGAGGUAACCAGAGUAACUACAUCCAAAAAUUGAGAGAACUGAAUGAGAUAAAUAAGGCGGGGUGUUUUUAACACGUCCUGCACAUGAAGACAAUACCAUGAUCAUGAAAUCACUAGAGAAAUCUGUCGGGGAAAGUCUGUGAGGAUAGUCUCAUCUGUAACACAUGUGUCCUCCAGAAAAAAAGUAUAUGGCUUUCAGACUAAAUUUUACUCCUUAUCCAAAUGGAAAGAAUAUCUAAAGAGACAAAGUGUAAUAAUCCAAGAAUCUUCUAUUGUGAGAAUAAUGGAGAUUGACAUUGUGAAGUAUAUAGAAAAACAUAAAAGACCACUGGAUCAACAUCACACAUGGAAUAUAUUUGUAAAGAGACAGACAGAAUUAUGUCAUACCCAGAGGGGAUAAUAAUCAGAGGUGAAGAAAAGGACCAGCUGACUUUCCCAAGGCCACCUGGUUUGUGAGUAAUAGAACUUGGAGGAUCCAUGUUUUUAAAUACAGUCGGCCCUCAUAUCCACGGGUUCUGCGUCCACAGGAAUGGUGGGCAGACCAAGGGACUUGAGCAUCUAUAGAUUUUGAUAUCUAGAGGGGGUUCUGGAACCAAUUCCCUGUGGAGACUGAGGGAUGACUGUAAUGCAUUUUUCAAAUAUCUAAAAAGCAUAAUAUUCACUCAAAAAUACUUACAAAAGUAAUACUUGAGUUUCCUUUGUUUUCUACAAACUUUGUGCUCUUUUCUUUUUCUUUUUUGUGCUAAUUCUAUAGCUUUUCAAAGACAGGUUCAUUAUUUUACUUCAAAGUAUUUUCUUUUUUUCCCCUUAAACUGUUAUCAAGACAGAAGAGUCUUUAUUCAGUCAUAUGCAAAAUUCAUAAAUUAUAGUUUUCAUUAAAAUGUAGAAUUUUAUUUCAUCCAGAUCUACAAAAAUCUGUAAAAUUAAGUCAGCAUUCUUGAGUCCUACAAAUGUUAGAGUUCUCACCCUGAUGCUAGACUCCAGCUCAGUUUUAGAUGUGGUUGUAUUUUUUGUAAAAGAUAUGAGCAAGACAAUUAUUUCAAAGAGAGUAGGCUGCAAGAAUCUCUAAUAAUCCUGAAAGAGGAAUUAAGUAAGCCAUGAAACUCAUGUCUGGGUAUGACCCCAGGGGAUCCAAGAAAAGAUUCAUGUAGCAUAAGAACUUUUGCUUAUCUCUGAAUCUCAGGAACAAAGUCAUAACAGUCCAGCUAAUUUAGAAACUUCAAAUGUAUUGAAUCAACUGACUUCAUUGAAAUAUGACGAAUU
This 1404-nucleotide long non-coding RNA is filed under the name Equus asinus (donkey). RNAcentral describes it as "lncRNA (ENSEASG00005026054.1)". Lineage: Eukaryota; Metazoa; Chordata; Mammalia; Perissodactyla; Equidae. The record is from RNAcentral.